UGGGGAAUAUUGGACAAUGGGGGCAACCCUGAUCCAGCAAUGCCGCGUGAGUGAUGAAGGCCUUAGGGUUGUAAAGCUCUUUCGCACGCGACGAUGAUGACGGUAGCGUGAGAAGAAGCCCCGGCUAACUUCGUGCCAGCAGCCGCGGUAAUACGAAGGGGGCUAGCGUUGUUCGGAAUUACUGGGCGUAAAGGGCGCGUAGGCGGUCUUGUUAGUCAGGCGUGAAAGCCCCGGGCUCAACCUGGGAACUGCGCUUGAUACUGCAAGGCUAGAGUUCCGGAGAGGAUGGUGGAAUUCCCAGUGUAGAGGUGAAAUUCGUAGAUAUUGGGAAGAACACCGGUGGCGAAGGCGACCAUCUGGACGGACACUGACGCUGAGGCGCGAAAGCGUGGGGAGCAAACAGG
RNAcentral lists this ribosomal RNA (404 nucleotides) under uncultured prokaryote. Its description in RNAcentral is "bacterial SSU rRNA". It matches the Rfam family "Bacterial small subunit ribosomal RNA", at positions 355 to 776 of the family's 1533-position model. RNAcentral also lists the same sequence under 1 other name. The record is from RNAcentral.